UUAUUGGAGAGUUUGAUCCUGGCUCAGGACGAACGCUGGCGGCGUGCCUAAUACAUGCAAGUCGAGCGAGUCCCUUCGGGGGCUAGCGGCGGACGGGUGAGUAACACGUAGGCAACCUGCCCGUAAGCUCGGGAUAACAUGGGGAAACUCAUGCUAAUACCGGAUAGGGUCUUCUCUCGCAUGAGAGGAGACGGAAAGGUGGCGCAAGC
RNAcentral lists this ribosomal RNA (209 nucleotides) under Brevibacillus borstelensis. RNAcentral describes it as "partial 16S ribosomal RNA". It matches the Rfam family "Bacterial small subunit ribosomal RNA", at positions 1 to 218 of the family's 1533-position model. The record is from RNAcentral. Lineage: Bacteria; Bacillati; Bacillota; Bacilli; Caryophanales; Paenibacillaceae.